AGUCUCAGAUUCUUCGCAGAACGCAUAAAUCUUUCGCCUUUUACUAAAGAUUUCCGUGCGAAGGAUCAUAAAUGAGUUAUUUCAUCUAUUAAAUAUAAAAUAUAAAACAGAGAAUUU
Small nuclear RNA from Gordionus sp. m RMFG-2023, 117 nucleotides. RefSeq annotates it as U5 spliceosomal RNA. The record is from RefSeq and is a predicted model, not a curated record. NCBI's taxonomy places the organism in Eukaryota, Metazoa, Nematomorpha, Gordioida, Chordodea, Parachordodidae. The transcript has a single exon.